RNAcentral lists this small RNA (126 nucleotides) under Tatumella sp. JGM118. RNAcentral's name for it is "RtT sRNA". It matches the Rfam family "RtT RNA". Rfam says of the family: This family represents a bacterial cis-regulatory element known as RtT RNA. The exact function of RtT is unknown although it is thought that it may be involved in changing the cellular response in relation to amino acid starvation. Lineage: Bacteria; Pseudomonadati; Pseudomonadota; Gammaproteobacteria; Enterobacterales; Erwiniaceae. The record is from RNAcentral.
GCAGGUAUUCUCCCGGGAGGGUGAGAACCCUCGCAGGGUUCGACAAAACCUGACGGGUUUUGCAGGGCCUCCGGCCCCCCGAAGGGCGAGCUGCAGCGCAGCGAGUGCAUCCCUCCCUCACCGCCA